This 362-nucleotide ribosomal RNA is filed under the name uncultured Rubellimicrobium sp. Its description in RNAcentral is "bacterial SSU rRNA". It matches the Rfam family "Bacterial small subunit ribosomal RNA", at positions 28 to 412 of the family's 1533-position model. The record is from RNAcentral. Lineage: Bacteria; Pseudomonadati; Pseudomonadota; Alphaproteobacteria; Rhodobacterales; Roseobacteraceae.
AACGAACGCUGGCGGCAGGCUUAACACAUGCAAGUCGAGCGGGUGGUCUUCGGGCCAUCAGCGGCGGACGGGUUAGUAACGCGUGGGAACGUGCCCUUUGCUCUGGAAUAGCCCUGGGAAACUGGGGGUAAUACCGGAUGUGCCCUGAGGGGAAAGAUUUAUCGGGCAAGGGAUCGGCCCGCGUCUGAUUAGGUAGUUGGUGUGGUAACGGCGCACCAAGCCGACGAUCGGUAGCUGGUUUGAGAGGAUGAUCAGCAACACUGGGACUGAGACACGGCCCAGACUCCUACGGGAGGCAGCAGUGGGGGAAUCUUGGACAAUGGGGGGCAACCCUGAUCCAGCCAUGCCGCGUGGGUGAUGAA